GAUGAACGCUGGCGGCGUGCCUAAUACAUGCAAGUCGAGCGAACGGACGAGAAGCUUGCUUCUCUGAUGUUAGCGGCGGACGGGUGAGUAACACGUGGAUAACCUACCUAUAAGACUGGGAUAACUUCGGGAAACCGUAGCUAAUACCGGAUAAUAUUUUGAACCCCAUGGUUCAAAAGUGAAAGACGGUCUUGCUGUCACUUAUAGAUGGAUCCGCGCUGCAUUAGCUAGUUGGUAAGGUAACGGCUUACCAAGGCAACGAUGCAUAGCCGACCUGAGAGGGUGAUCGGCCACACUGGAACUGAGACACGGUCCAGACUCCUACGGGAGGCAGCAGUAGGGAAUCUUCCGCAAAGGGCGAAAGCCUGACGGAGCAACGCCGCGUGAGUGAUGAAGGUCUUCGGAUCGUAAAACUCUGUUAUUAGGGAAGAACAUAUGUGUAAGUAACUGUGCACAUCUUGACGGUACCUAAUCAGAAAGCCACGGCUAACUACGUG
Molecule: ribosomal RNA, 497 nt
Filed under: uncultured bacterium
Lineage: Bacteria
Description: partial 16S ribosomal RNA
Rfam family: Bacterial small subunit ribosomal RNA
Source: RNAcentral